GGGAACUCUUUACUGGAAUAAUACUGCACAUUUGGAGUCCAUUCUGGCAACUUUUUCCGGUAGACACGGCCUGGAAGUCCUAGAACUCCAUCAGUCUCCCCAUCCACAGAAAACAUAUACAUCAAAGAAACCAUUCGAUAUUGAUGAAGCCCAUUACAGUCUGGAUCAAGAACAAAGGGCUGCCCUGAAGUUGUAAGCACAUAACGACCGCCAUUCUUAACAGGUGCCCAGACCUGAGCUAACACACGUUCUCCCGUUGAUUCCUUGAAGUAUCGAAGUGCCUGUGUCAUCCUCUC
This 296-nucleotide unclassified non-coding RNA is filed under the name Hevea brasiliensis (rubber tree). Lineage: Eukaryota; Viridiplantae; Streptophyta; Magnoliopsida; Malpighiales; Euphorbiaceae. The record is from RNAcentral.